GGAGUUAGCCGGUGCUUCUUCUGCGAGUAACGUCACAGAUGUAAGGUAUUAACUUACACCCUUUCCUCCUCGCUGAAAGUGCUUUACAACCCGAAGGCCUUCUUCACACACGCGGCAUGGCUGCAUCAGGGUUUCCCCCAUUGUGCAAUAUUCCCCACUGCUGCCUCCCGUAGGAGUCUGGGCCGUGUCUCAGUCCCAGUGUGGCUGAUCAUCCUCUCAGACCAGCUAGGGAUCGUCGCCUAGGUGAGCCUUUACCUCACCUACUAGCUAAUCCCACCUGGGCUUAUCCAUCAGCGCAAGGCCCGAAGGUCCCCUGCUUUCCCCCGUAGGGCGUAUGCGGUAUUAGCAGUCGUUUCCAACUGUUAUCCCCCACAAAUGGGCAAAUUCCCAGGCAUUACUCACCCGUCCGCCGCUCGUCACUCUACUAACGAACACGACUUAGUUAAUAGUUACGUACUCGUACUACGUCAUGUGUUAGGUCGUCGCGCCGACGCGUCGUACUACUGAGACACUAACUACAACUACUCGUACUACGUAGCGGGCGGUCGGCGACGGACGGCGACUAG
Molecule: ribosomal RNA, 566 nt
Filed under: uncultured bacterium
Lineage: Bacteria
Description: partial 16S ribosomal RNA
Source: RNAcentral